This 387-nucleotide RNase P RNA is filed under the name bacterium JGI 053. RNAcentral describes it as "Bacterial RNase P class A". It matches the Rfam family "Bacterial RNase P class A". Rfam says of the family: Ribonuclease P (RNase P) is a ubiquitous endoribonuclease, found in archaea, bacteria and eukarya as well as chloroplasts and mitochondria. Its best characterised activity is the generation of mature 5'-ends of tRNAs by cleaving the 5'-leader elements of precursor-tRNAs. The record is from Rfam by way of RNAcentral.
GGAGGCGAGUGAGGGCCGCGGCGCUCCUUCGGGGGUGUCGAGGAAAGUCCGAGCUCCGCAGGGCAGGGUGCCGGCUAACGGCCGGGGGUCGCGAGGCCACGGAAAGUGCCACAGAAAACAAACCGCCGAUGGCUCCCGCCGGGAGCACAGGCAAGGGUGAAACGGUCGCGGUAAGAGCGCACCGCCCCGGCGGCAACGUCGGGGGCAGGGCAAACCCCACCCGGAGCAAGGCCGAACAGGGACGAGGGGCUGCCCGCCCCGCGAACGGCUCCUGGCCGUUCACAGUUCCGGGUAGGCUGCACGAGGCCGGCGGCGACGUCGGUCCCAGAGAAAUGGCUCUCCACCCGCGCGAGCGGGUGACAGAACUCGGCUUAUUCGCCUCCCCCU